This 74-nucleotide transfer RNA is filed under the name Candidatus Kerfeldbacteria bacterium CG_4_10_14_0_8_um_filter_42_10. Its description in RNAcentral is "tRNA-Trp". It matches the Rfam family "tRNA". Rfam says of the family: Transfer RNA (tRNA) molecules are approximately 80 nucleotides in length. Their secondary structure includes four short double-helical elements and three loops (D, anti-codon, and T loops). Further hydrogen bonds mediate the characteristic L-shaped molecular structure. tRNAs have two regions of fundamental functional importance: the anti-codon, which is responsible for specific mRNA codon recognition, and the 3' end, to which the tRNAs corresponding amino acid is attached (by aminoacyl-tRNA synthetases). tRNAs cope with the degeneracy of the genetic code in two manners: having more than one tRNA (with a specific anti-codon) for a particular amino acid; and 'wobble' base-pairing, i.e. permitting non-standard base-pairing at the 3rd anti-codon position. The record is from RNAcentral. Lineage: Bacteria; Candidatus Kerfeldiibacteriota.
GGGGGUUUAGUUCAGCGGUAGAACAACGGUCUCCAAAACCGUAGACGAGGGUUCAAUUCCUUCAACCCCUGCCA